GAUGAAGAACGUAGCGAAAUGCGAUAAGUAAUGUGAAUUGCAGAAUUCAGUGAAUCAUCGAAUCUUUGAACGCACCUUGCGCCCUUUGGCCAUUCCGAAGGGCAUGCCUGUUUGAGUAUCAUGAACACCUCAACUCUUCAUGGUUUUCCAUGAUGAGCUUGGACUUUGGGGGUCUUGCUGGCCUGUGGGUCGGCUCCUCUCAAAUGAAUCAGCUUGCCGGUUUUUGGUGGGCAUCACAGGUGUGAUAACUAUCUACGCUUGUGGUUUUCCACCAGGGUAACCUUCAGCAGUGGAGGUUCACUGGAGCUUACAAAUGUCUCUCCUCUGUGAGGACAGCCCUUUGAAUGUUUGAUCUCAAAUCUGGUAGGACUACCCGCUGAACUUAAGCAUAUCAAUAAGCGGAGGA
Molecule: unclassified non-coding RNA, 406 nt
Filed under: soil metagenome
Description: partial contains 5.8S ribosomal RNA, internal transcribed spacer 2, and large subunit ribosomal RNA
Rfam family: 5.8S ribosomal RNA (bases 1-121)
Source: RNAcentral